Molecule: ribosomal RNA, 433 nt
Filed under: uncultured bacterium
Lineage: Bacteria
Description: partial 16S ribosomal RNA
Rfam family: Bacterial small subunit ribosomal RNA
Source: RNAcentral
AACGAACGCUGGCGGCAUGCCUAACACAUGCAAGUCGAACGAGACCUUCGGGUCUAGUGGCGCACGGGUGCGUAACGCGUGGGAACCUGCCCUUAGGUUCGGAAUAACUCCCCGAAAGGGGUGCUAAUACCGGAUAAUGUCUUCGGACCAAAGAUUUAUCGCCUUUGGAUGGGCCCGCGUUGGAUUAGCUAGUUGGUAGGGUAAAAGCCUACCAAGGCGACGAUCCUUAGCUGGUCUGAGAGGAUGAUCAGCCACACUGGGACUGAGACACGGCCCAGACUCCUACGGGAGGCAGCAGUGGGGAAUAUUGGACAAUGGGCGAAGGCCUGAUCCAGCAAUGCCGCGUGAGUGAUGAAGGCCUUAGGGUUGUAAAGCUCUUUUACCCGGGAUGAUAAUGACAGUACCGGGAGAAUAAGCUCCGGCUAACUCCGUG